UUGGAGGGCAAGUCUGGUGCCAGCAGCCGCGGUAAUUCCAGCUCCAAUAGCGUAUGUUAAAGUUGUUGCAGUUAAAAAGCUCGUAGUUGAAUUUCGGGAUUGGCGCAUCGGUCGUGCCUCACGGGGUAUGAACUGGUGCAGUCAAUUUCUCACCUUCUGGAGAACCGCGAUGUCCUUAAUUGGAUGCCACGGGGAACCAGGACCUUUACUUUGAAAAAAUUAGAGUGUUUAAAGCAGGCAUUUUUGCUUGAAUACAUUAGCAUGGAAUAAUAAAAUAGGACGACAUGGUUCUAUUUUGUUGGUUUCUAGGACCACCGUAAUGAUUAAUAGGGAUAGUUGGGGGCAUUAGUAUUCAAUUGUCAGAGGUGAAAUUCUUGGAUUUAUUGAAGACUAACUACUGCGAAAGCAUUUGCCAAGGAUGUUUCCAUUAAUCAAGAACGAAAGUUAGGGGAUCGAAGACGAUCAGAUACCGUCGUAGUCUUAACCAUAAACUAUGCCGACUAGGAAUCAGACGAUGUUAAUUUUUUAAUGACUCGUUUGGCACCUUACGGGAAACCAAAGUGUUUGGGAWUC
RNAcentral lists this ribosomal RNA (573 nucleotides) under uncultured Glomeromycotina. RNAcentral's name for it is "SSU rRNA". It matches the Rfam family "Eukaryotic small subunit ribosomal RNA", at positions 550 to 1125 of the family's 1831-position model. The record is from RNAcentral. Lineage: Eukaryota; Fungi; Glomeromycota.